UCUCUCGGCUUGCACUAAGGAGGAGGUCACGUGAGCACACAGUGAGAAGGCGGAGGACCAUCUGCAAGCAGGAAGAGAGCCCUCGCUAGAACCCCCCACGGUGGCAUCUGAUAGUGGACUUCUAGCUUCCAGAACUGAACUCAUAAAUGUCACAUCAGGCUGCCUCUUGGUGAAUUUUUAAUCAACGGGGAGAAUUUCAGCUACAAAUAGACCAAGAAUCAAGAGGCCCACUAUUGAUCGGUCAAAGUGGCACUUAUGAACCUGAGGUUGAAGCAGUUUGGAUAAAAGGAUUCUGGGCUUUCGAUGGCCCCAGAGACAUCUUUUUCCAUCAAGUCCAGGCUUGCUGAUCGGUACAGCUGAGAACAUGUUGAAUUUGAUGUGCCUGUGGAUAUUUGAGUCUGGAACAUUGAAGACAAGUUUGGUCUGGAGAUGUAGACUGGGGAUAUCUCAGCACACAGAUGAUAACUGAAAUGAUGGAGCGGAUGAUAUAAACUGGAGAGAGUCUGGUGUGGGAAGAGUCUUCCCUGAGGUGGCCGAAAGAUGUAAUUCUUACUCCAAAGACUGAAAUAGAGACAAGAGAAGCUGAAGUUACAGGGUUUUGUCAUUGGGAAGACAGUAGAGUGUGUCAUAUCCCAAGAGUGAAGCAAGGACAAACCAAAGAACAACUGGGAAGAUCUGGGAGAAAAAGGACAGGGUCUUACUUUGUUGCCAAGGCUGGCUUCAAACUCCUGACUUCAAGAGAUCCUCCCACCCCACCCACCCAAAGUGCUGGGAUUACAGGUGUGCGCCACUGUGCCUAGCGGGUCAUCAGUCUUUGAGAUGCUGUUGACAAAGCCAUUUGAUGAUAUCAAAGAAGGAAUGAAGCAUAAGGUUUUUUGGCCCCUCUGCUUGGGAUGCCACUUGCAGGCAGAACUCUCCACAGUUUUACCAUCCAGUGAAGAAUCACCUGUUUAUAGCCUGUGUAAAAUCAAUGAUGCUUCUUGGAAACAAGUCUAUUCUCAUAGACAGC
This 1009-nucleotide long non-coding RNA is filed under the name Homo sapiens (human). RNAcentral's name for it is "novel transcript". Lineage: Eukaryota; Metazoa; Chordata; Mammalia; Primates; Hominidae. The record is from RNAcentral.